Molecule: long non-coding RNA, 536 nt
Filed under: Pan troglodytes (chimpanzee)
Lineage: Eukaryota; Metazoa; Chordata; Mammalia; Primates; Hominidae
Description: long non-coding RNA NONPTRT000359
Source: RNAcentral
GUUUAAGGUCACACAGCACUAAGAUCAGAACUAGAGCUUAGGUUUUUUUUUUCUGCUUCUGAAACCUAUGUUUUUCUUGGCACAUUAAGUCAUUAUAAUCUAUAGUUUCCUCAGACAGGAAGUGUAAAGAACACAGAAAAGCAAGAAUUAAAUUCUGGGGUGGCUCAGAAAUUUGGAGAAAAAGAAAAAGAGCAAGUAAAAUCACAAGCAAGUACAAAGAAUACUAAAAUGAACUCAGCAAACAAGGAAGAAGAAAGUUUUAAGGAAAAAGCUGAACAAACAUACAAGGUAAAACUGAUCUCCAGGAAGUGAGCACGAAGUUGAGGCUCAGAAUAAAAGCAGCUGUGAGAGACUUGGGGCCUCCAAGAGACAAGGAGAGCAACACUGGUUCCUGUUAGCAUCCAGUUCUUGGGUUUUAUCCCUCAUUGAGGUGCAGAAGCUUUCCUUCCCUUGUGUAUAAUAAAUUCCUGGCUUUGCAUAAGCCAGCCCAAGUGGCCUUCUGUUCCCUGAUACCAAAACGUCUUGUCUAAUACAAA